RNAcentral lists this long non-coding RNA (11068 nucleotides) under Medicago truncatula (barrel medic). RNAcentral's name for it is "long non-coding RNA (MTRU_LNC008231)". The record is from RNAcentral. Lineage: Eukaryota; Viridiplantae; Streptophyta; Magnoliopsida; Fabales; Fabaceae.
GUUCGUACAUGUGUGUUGGCUAUGUUGGAUGUUGUGAGGUUUGAGUGUUAUUUUGGGUGUUUAAAAACAAAAACCUAUGUUGUGUUGGUGAUAAGGUUUUGCACCAUUUGUAUUCUGCAAUAAAUAAUGCAAAAGAAUUUUAUAGCACUUUCGGUUAUUUGAAUUUAAUUUAGGAUCACAUCAAACUAACAGUGCAUAUGACUUUCGAUUGGUAAUUUUAACCAAAGCUGUCUACAAUUAUUUAAAUAGUUUGGUUGAGUUUUGUCUUGAAUUGAUUUGAGCAAUUUAAAGUAAGUGAAUCAUAUUUUGAAAGAGUCAUCAUGACAAAUUUGAUUUUUAAAACAAAACCCCCAGUGUGUAAAAUAAGCAUGAUGAUGAGGCGGGUGAUGAUGAGUUUUACCUUCCCCAUCCUUAUACCCUACUCUCAUAUACUUACCUGCCACUUUACCUAUAUCUAAUGAGGGUGAGAAGUCGAACCCCAUCACUGUCUCCGACGGGUUUAGGUAUCCCCGCGUCAUCUCCGUUGUGGAUAAUUUUUUUUAAUGAAAAAAGUGUUUUUCUACUUCAGGCGCAAUGUUGUAAUACAUUAUCCUACAAAGAGAUGAUGACGAUCGAUAACUACGUUGAUGGAGAAGUGAGAGACCGAGAUUGAGAAGUGAGAAUCAUCUGAGAGACUAAGACUCUGACUAUGUGAGGAGAAUAAAGAGAACUCUGAGAAGUGAGUGUCAUCUGAGAGACUAAGUUUUGAUUGUGUGAGUGAAAUGAUUUAGGGUUUGAGUUUCUAUUUAUAUAAAAUGGAUAAUAAAUUGAUUUUCUACAUGUGGGGCGGGUUUGAGUGUGGGUUCGGGGUGAAUACAUAUAUCCUCGUUACCUAUCCAGUAUCCAUGUUUUGAAUCAUGGAAAAUUCAAACUCAUACCCAAAUCCAAUAAAAGCAGAGAAAAUCCGUCAAAUUAGAUUUGUUUCAAAUGGGUACCCGCAGAUAUGCAUUUUGUUGUCUUACCUCAAAAUCACUAUUUAGUAUAGAAAAGUUAACUUGUAACUAAUGUACAACUUAAAGUUAAGAAGUUAAAUGCAAAAUUAUAUUUAGAAAUUGCGCAUUUCUUAUCCUAAAGUUUCUUCUUUUUCAAGGGUAAUUCCUUGAGAGUUUAAAAACUAAAUUUUAAUUCAAUACAAAAAUUUUGUUUUGAUUUCAUUUUUAGAUCGUUAAUUUGUGUCCUUGGUAUACAAAUUAACCUAACUCAUUGAGUAUGUGUUUGUUUUUUCUUAAAAAGAGUAUGUGUUUAGCUGUAAAAUAACAUUAAACAUGAGUCGUCCAACCUGACACUCUAAUUAGUAGCUUCUGAACCUCAUGAUUAAAUGGUAACUCACAUUGGCUGUGAACUAACUCUAUCCCAAAUUGGUGCUUAAUACGCUAAUUUAGGGAUAUUUGUGGUGCAGUUUGAAUUAGUUUUGAUGCAAAUAGUCAUCAUAUUUAAAAUAAAAAUCGCAUGCGGAAAAUAUAGGGUAAAAUAUAACGUUUAAUGGAAAAUAUAGCAUGAAUAUAUAUUAAAAAAUAAUAUUACAGAAUAAAAAUUAUCAAUUAUAUUCUAAACAUAGGAAGAAGUAAUACUAUACAAUAAAUUAAUGCAAUAUAUAAAAAAAAAUAAAAAAUAAAACCGAGAAGCUAUAUAUUAAUGCAAUACACACACUAAUAAAAUAAUAAAUAAGUAUUAAAAUUUACAAAACAACAUCCAAAAAAAAUCAAUUUUUUUGUUGUUGUUUUUUUUGGAUUAGUGUACGGUUUUAUUUUGGAUGCGUUUGAAUUUGAAUAACCACAUGCCUACUAGGCUAACUGUGUAUAUUAUUUAGGAAAUGUCAUAAAAGGUACUCCCUCAAUCUUAAAUAAUUAUCAUUAUUUAACUUUCAUCCAUAUCAAUGUACAAUUUUAACUAUUAAUAUUCUUAGUUAUUUAUUAAUAAAAGUUGUAAAAAAUUGAUAUUUUAAAAAUAUUCGUUGAGAUAAAUUGAACAAUAUUUUAUUUACUAACAUUUUAUUUACAAAUAUGAUCAAAGUAGAUUAUGUGAAUCGUACGUAUGGUCAAACUAUGACAAUAAUUUUGAAAUAGAUGGAGUAAUUUUGAAAAUAGAAAAGAGAAAUGUUAGCUAGUGCCUUCCGGUGCACUAGCUAUAUGAAAAACGUGUGGAGUAAUUUUGAAACCAAUAUAGAAAAUUGUGUUGAGAAGUAUGAAAAAGUUGUACGUUCAACUUUUUAAAAGUCAAAAAUUUAUUAUUUUUAUAAAAAAAAAAAUCUACUUCUAAUUUUUUUAACUAAUGCUCCAUAAUCAAUAGUUAGCAUGACUGGAUAAAAAAUGACAUAUCAUAUCAUACUAACAAAUGUUCUAAAGUUACAUUGUUAUGGACAUUUGUUAGCAUUUUUUACUUUUAUUAAAAAAAUAGGCAUUUCACACGGUUACUUUUGGCUUUAUCACAUUUUGCGUUCACAUAUCUUUGUAAAUAAAUAUGCCUUAUAUUGAUCAGGAGUAAAUUGGAACACAACUAGCAUCUCUCCAUUUCUCUCUAUCAUCAUGUGUAUAUCACAAUUUUUUGAAGAAGUUAAAGAAAUCAUGUUAAAAAUCAAAUAAAGCUCCUUUAACAUAUGGUGCGUCAAAGCAACCUAAUAAUCCAAACAGCUCACAUUACAACAUGUCGUAACAACCCAACAAAAAAUUAGAAAACUAUCUUUAAGCAAAACAAAGGAUUUUGCCUCGAAAACACGUGAUAUAAUUUUAACCACCAAUAAAUUUGUAGUUUAAUUUUUUCACUCAGAGAUUGAAGUUGAUUACUCUUCUGUUGAAAGAUCCUAACAUUUCUUUCUUUGAAAUGACGCAAAGCACUGAAAAGUCGAAAGAAGUUCUCCUUGGCGAAUCCCUUUUUUCAACUUAAACUCAUUAGUAAGGCUACCAUUCACAAGUACCGAAGUCGUUGCUGUUGAGACACAUUCUAAAAUCCAUUGACUCCAGCGCUAAGGGUAAUUCAGUUUGGUCAUCAAAUCUCCCAAAUACCUCCAAUGAACUGAGUCAUAGGUUUUUUUGAAAUCAACCUUAAAAAGAAUAAGUUCUUUCUUAGAUUUACACGCAUCACCCUUUAACUCAUUGGCUAUCAGAAUUGCAUCUAAAAUUUGUCUACCUUUUACAAAAGCAAACUAAGAUUCUGAAACACCAUUACUAACCACCUUCCUCAAUCUAUUAGCAAGAACUUUUGACAAAAUUUUAUACACCCUCCGUCCCUUAAUGUAGGCACCUAUUGCCUUUUCACAUUUCUUAAGAAAUGUUGUCAGUGUAAUUAAUGUGUUUGUUUUGUGUGUUAAUAAUUAUCCUUGGUUUGUAUGUAUUAAAUUUGACUUUUCAUAUUUCAAGACAAGUUAGUAGUAUUAAUUAGGGAUAUGUUUAGGAAAAAAUUAAUAAACGCAUCUAGUAAUUUGAAAUGGAAUUUAAAUUUAGAGAAAAAAAUAAAAUCAAACGGAAACUUAGAUAUAAGGACGGGGGAGUAUAAGCUACCAACCAAAGAAAUAGGUUGAAAAUAUGCCAACUUCUAAAGACUCUUAGCUUUGGGAAUCGAAGUAAUAAAAGUAUUUAUGUCCUUUGUUAACUUACCAUUGUGAUGAAACUCAACAAACAAAUUCUUUGAUAAAACCAAUAUUAAUCUCAUCUUGCUCAGGACUCUUAUAACUAUCACAAUCUCACACUCAUGCCUCUAUCUCUUCCAACAAAAAAGGUAUAAUAAGAUCAGCCACAUCCUUCAUACUAAUAGUUUUAAAAGAAAGAUCCCCUAACCCAGGUCUGGACUCCAUUGCAACUUUAAAAUUAGAUUGAAAAUGUUGAAAAGCCACACUCCUCGCCCCUUCCACACCCUUAAUCUGAACACCUUUAACAUUAAUAGAAAUAAUCACAGUUGACCCGUCUCCUAGAAGACACCACCCCAUGGAAAAAAAAAAAAAAAACGAAUUAGCACCACCCUUCUUUAACCAAGUCGAUCUAGAUUUUUGCCACUGAAUACUAAAAUGUAAUUUAUAUAAAGCCACAACAUCUGCUAAUAGAAAUCAAAGAGAGAAAUCAACAUAUCAAACAAAACGAAACCGAAGAACCAAUGCAAAUUGAACUAAAUAACCAACCUAAAUCAAACCACCAUUAAUCAAAUCAUCCUUAUCAAAUCCACCAAUCAAUCACAAUACUAACAAUUCCAUCGUGUGAAGAACAAUGAAUUCAAAUGGAGAAAAACUAAUGGAUAUCAAAAUAAAUCCAUAGAGAACAACCGUGACAAUUGCUUAACAAAUAGUAAUUCAACUAAAAAGAAAAGUCCUAAUCCAACAAAAACCAACACAUUAAUAUCCAAGUGCCAUCAGGACUCAACUGAAUCUUUGAAUCAAAAAAAUAAUAGAUAGCUAAAACAAUAAAUCUUAUAGUUUACAAACAAAUCAAAAUGCAAAACAGAUUCCUAAUUUUUUUUUUUUUUUUUUUGAAAAAUUAACAACGGAAUAGCCGUGAAUCAUAUAAGGAGGGUCAAAACAUGCUCUUGAUACCAUGUUAACAAUAUUAGGUUUAGAGCUCUUAUACAUGGAGCAUCGUAGGUGACAUACAAACUUUCACGGUGUGAUGUGAAAUUACUAAAAUACCCCUGUCACAUGGGGGUAUACAUGAGAGGUACAUAAAAAAGGAUGUCUAUCUAUCUUUUUUCAUAGAUUUAAUAAAAAAGGGAGAAUAACACAAAACAACUAGAAUUUUAUAAAAUGUAGAUGACUUAACAUUACAAAAGGUUAACAUAAACCUAAUGGAUUACUAACUUAAUAAUAGUUUAAGUUAAAAACUUUAUUAUCUAACCAAUUUUAUCUACUUCCAAUAUAUCACCUACGAAUUUUCUAUUUUUGAAUCCCGUCUACACUCUGAGUCAUGGAAUACUGCGAGACUAUUUCAUAUUGAUUUUCGUAACCCAAUUCAAGAUAACACAAAGAGGGUUGACCCAAUCACAAUCACCAAUAAAUAAAUGAGCUUUUGUCAAAAAAAGACGACCUGAUCAAUGAGCUAUUUUUCAACAAAAUAAAGUGAGAUUUACGAACAAGCCACAAGGUAUGUCCUACCAAAGUUCUAUAAAUACCAUUCCUCACCAUCUCAUAAACCCACAUCACAAGCGAAAUUAGUUGUAUUCAUAUUAUACAUUUCUCUUUUCAUUUUCUUCUUGUAUAUUGAUCCUUUUUAACUAUCUUGAUAUAUAUCAUGGGUGUUUUUACUUUCAACGAUGAACAUGUCUCAACCGUGGCUCCAGCUAAACUCUACAAAGCUCUUGCAAAAGAUGCUGAUGAAAUAGUCCCAAAGGUGAUUUCUGCUGCCCAAAGUGUUGAAAUUGUUGAAGGAAAUGGUGGACCUGGCACCAUCAAAAAGUUAUCCAUGUCUGAAGGUAAUUCAUUAAGAGCAUUUACUAUAUCCCUGUCAAAAAAAUACAACUUUAUUAAUUAGUAAUUCAAUAGACAUGUUAAGAAAUCAUAUACUCACUUUUAUUUUUGAAUUAGAUUUUGAGUGUUGAAGGAGACCAAUGAUAAUACAUAAACUGAGUCUAUAUAUAAAUAAUAAGCUUCAAGAAACAACUAAUUUCCAUGGAAAAAGAAUAUAUAAGAUACUUCAUGCAAGAUUCAAGAGAACCACUAAACUGGAGACAGGGCCGGCCUAAGGACCAAACAACCUAAACAAGGGUUUUAGGCUUCAAAACUUUUGGUAAAAAAAAAGGUCUUUAAAAAAUUAAUUUGGUCAUAAGUAUAUUAUAUGACAGAUAAAUUACAGACAUUUGAAUAGCUUAACUGAUCAAAAAGGUUUUAAUUACUCAUGGUCAUGAAUUCAAAUUUUGGUCUCCACGCAAUUGCUUUUAUAUAAAUAUUCUAUUAAAAAAAUAAUUUCAAAGGCCACAUUAAAUUUUUUGAUUUAAGCCUCUUAAUCUGUUGGGUCGGCCAUGGCAGGAGAUCCAACUAUUUGUAUAAACUACAGUCGUUGAAAUGUAACUAUUGUGAGAGUGUUGCUUGUUUUCAUUAUAUAUAGUAGUUAUAUAUUCAAAUGAAAUGAAUGAUCAAAUUAACACUAAAAUUUAGUUAAAAUCAUUUCAAAUAUCAAUAUAUUAUUGUCAAGAUUAAAUUAUGUAAUUUUAUAUGAUUUCAACCUAAUGGUAAAGAGUGGUUAUAAUAUAUCCAGAUUAAUUGUAAAUAGACUCGUAUUCAAUAAUUAUAGUAAUUAAGAUCAACUUUUUAAUCAGCCCAAUAAAAUGUGUGGUCUACAACUAUAAGAUUCACACAAUAUUAUAGUAAAAUAGACUUAACAAUCAAGUGAUUAAAUAUAUCCAGUUACAUUAGAAUUGAUCUAUGACAAAAACAAUUUUUAGUCGAACUUUACUUUCAUUUUGAGGGAACCAACUUAUAUAAAUUAUGAUGGUUGUAUUGUAGGUGGCAAAACCGACUAUGUGCUACACAAAUUAGAAGCAAUGGAUGAAGCAAACUUGGGAUACAACUAUAGCAUUGUAGGAGGAACAGGGUUGGAUGAAAGUUUAGAAAAAGUUGAAUUCGAGACAAGUAUUGUGGCUGGCUCUGAUGGUGGAUCCAUUGUUAAGAUUUCAGUGAAAUACCACACCAAAGGUGAUGCAACUCUAUCUGAUGCAGUGCGUGAUGAAACUAAGACCAAAGGAACUGGACUUAUCAAGGCCAUUGAGGGAUACGUUUUGGCAAACCCUAAUUAUUAAGUAAAAUGUAUACUUGGUUGUGUUGUGUCAUACCAAUAAUAAUUGAAGUUUAUGAUAUGGUUGUUUGAUUUAUACAUCACGAUUUCUAGCUUAUACAUGUGUGUGGGCUUUGUUGUUUAAUUACAAAAAUCUAUGUGUUGAUGUUGAGGUUUUGUACCAUCUAUAAUUCUGUAAUAAAUAAUGAAGAAUUUUCUAGCACUUUUCAUUCGGUAUUUUAACUUUAUAUGCCUUGACCAUUAUUGGUACACCAAUUUCCUUUCCUCUUGUUAUCCUUUUUUUUUCUUUCUUUGGAUUUAUUUUUGACUUGUAACACAUAAAAACUCAACUCAUCACUAGCAUGCUUUGAAUUUUACUAUGGCUGAGAAAAAGUAAAAACAUAAUGUGAGUAUGAUAGAGAAAGUUGUCAUAUAAUGGUUAUAUAAAUAUUAUUUCUCUAUCAUAAAUGUAAAGUGGAAGAUAUUGAAUUGAGAGUGAUGAAAUUUGUAUGGGUCUUGUUAACGAGUGCCCCCGAGGGCACUCUUUAAGCAUACUAAAUUAGAAAAUUAUUCUUUAAAAAAUUCAAAUAAUUCAAUUUCCAAUGCAUUGAAUACAUAACUUUUCAUAAAAAGUUACUAUUUAAGACCCUUAAAGAGUGUCCCCAGGGCACUAGUUAACAUUUCUGAAUUAUAGUAUUAAUUAAGAUGUAUAAUUGAAAAAAGAUAGUUAAUUAAUAUUAUAUUAAAAAGUGAAAUUGAUCAUUCAUUUUAGAUCUUUCUUCUUUUUUACAAAUAAAUUACUUAUUGUGGAACAUGAGGAGUAUCAUUUAUGCUCAAACUAAUCAUGCAAACUCUAAUAUAUAUAAACAAUUAUAAAUCAAAUAGACUUCAAUUUGAUAUUCCUUGCACUCGAAUAAUUUGGUAAGAGACAAAUUAAAUAAAGGAAUUUAAGUUUUUAUAAAUAAUCAACAUGUUAUAAGAUACAAUUGUUUGAAAAAGAAGAAUGGUGGUUUGCGGGUUAGGGUCUCUUAGUUAAUCAUCUAUUUCUGUUUCAUGUUUUUUUUUUUAAUAAUUUAUUUCUGUUUCAUGUUAUUUACCAACUUUAUAUUAGUUUUUUUGUAACUUUUUUAGUACAACUUGUGCUGAAAAGAUUUUGGUUAAUGAUAUUCUAUUUUGACAUGCUAAAAAAAAUGAUGAAUGUGAACCCGUUAAAUAAGUAAACGAUAUAGUACAUAGGUUGCAUAUUUUUAAACUUUGCCGUCUUUGAAUUGAAUUCUUGAUGCUUUUGUCCAAGUCAAAUUUCGAUUUUUAAUUCCUUUGCCCAUCUCUUCAUCGGCCAAAACUUCUGAGCUAAUAAGUCAUUGAUCUAUAUCUAUAUAUCUAUCUAAAGAAAAGUCAUUGAGUUGAAAAUAUCAUUUUGAAGAUAUGCUCUACAAUUUAUGGUUUUGAAAAAUAAUACACGCUCUCUAAUAUGGACAGCUUUGUUUUACACACUUAUUAAUCCUACUUAUUAAAGGUGCUACUAGCUAGUAACAGAUGGGAAACUUUUUGUUUCAAGUUUACCAAAUUUAUUUUUGGUGAUAACAUUUCUUGGAACAUAAAGAUGAGAAUUUUAUUCUAAAAUAUUUAGAAAAAAGAUGUUUGCUUAACAUUAUAGUAUUCUCAGAAACCAUAAAAAUAAGGAUUAUAAUAGAUAAUUACACAUGAAUCUAUUCCCAUGUUCAUGGGAACUUUAUUCCCACUAGUUUCUGUGAGAAAUUUUUUCCAUUCCCAUAAACAUUUUAUACCUGCGAAUAAAAUUUAAUAAAUUUGUAACAAACAUAGACAUGCAUAUGUCUAUUGUUUUAUUCCCAAAAAUCUACAUAGAUAACUUGAAAUAAACGUACCCUUAAAUUUAAUUAUUUACUGAAAAGAAAAAUGUGAUAAGGAAUCUGUUUCUACACCUCCAGGAAACACUAUCUCUUUUUCUUUUACGGAUCAAAGCUACAUUAUUUAGUUCCGUAAAUACAAUUUGAAUGGUAAAAAAUUUAAAGAUAUUUGAUUAAUUGGAGUGCGAGUUUGAAUAUAUAAUUCUUCACUUUAAAUGUUUUAAAGUAGAAUUGAUUUUUUUUGUAAAAUUAAUUCUACUCAAAGCUAAAUGUCGAGGCACGAAUAUUGUUCAAUUCACUUUUACUUAAAUAUAAUAAAACAUAUAUUAUUUUACAUUUAAUCAGAAUUAACUGUACAAAAUUAAUUCAUUUAGAAUCAAAUUUUUGUUGUGUAGCAUAAACAAACACACACUAAAUUACGUAGUUUGAUUUCUUUAUUAAAAAAAAGAAAGAGUAAAAUGAUUUCAUAUUUUGUCUUCAUUCCCAUUAGUUUGUUAUUGUCUUUGUAAUAAAAAAAUUAAAAAAAAUAUUUUUUUUCACUACGUAAAAACUUCACGUAGAUCUUUUUAUCAUUAAUUAAUUCGUGCGUGGUUAUGUACGACUGAGUCUCCUUAUUUUAGGAUAACGACUUCAAAUCUUUCAUACAUCAAUCUUCACCAAACUUUAACGGUGUGUUUGGAUGUAAGAUGAAAAUGAAAAGUGAUAAACAGAUGAGAAAGAGUGUGAGAAGAGAGAAAGCGAUAAGCAAUACAAUAGAUUUGUAGCAUUGAUUAGUAUAAAAAUGAGAAGAGAAAUAUAAAAAAAAAAAACAGAUAUUUUAUUCUUUGAAAAAGACAAAAACAACCUCCAUUAAAAAUAAAAUAGUAAAAUAUCGCUACUAUAUUAUGCUAUCUAAAGUUUGUCAUAAAAAUUAUCCUAUAUUAUAAUUUAUUAGUAUAAUAAUAAAUCUCAUGAAAUAAAGUGAAAAAUUAUUUACUUUUUCAUUGUGCUGUAAAAAAGUACUCCAUGUUAAUCAAUGUAUAAAGCAUUUAAAAGAAAGGGGCAUAAUUGGAAAUAUGCAAUAAAUAGGUUGCUCUAUUGGACUUUCAGGAUUGAAAAAACUGUCGGUACCAAAAAUUAAUUCGAACUUGAAUUAUUUCUUUUAACGCAACUUUAGAUGGCUCCUUGUGACUUUAAUUAAUAAUAUCAAACAUUUAUCUUGUAAAACAAGGUAGGACCUACCAAUAUGUCACUUAGUCAUGGAUUUCUAGACUAAUUCACAUUUUUAGAAUCGAAUUCAAGAUUGUCGACAUCACAAAGAGAAUUGACCCAAUAAAUAAAUAUCAAAAUACUUGAGCUAAAUAAAUAAGUGAGAUUUUGCAAACAAGGUAGGUCCUACCAAAGUUCUAUAAAUAGUAACCCUCAAUGUGUUAUAAACCGCAUCACAAACUAAAAUAGUAGCAUUAUUCAUAUUAUACAUUAAUUUCUCCUUUCAUUUACUUAUUGCAUAUUGAUCCUUUUUAUCUUGAUAUAUAUCAUGGGUUCUUUUGUUUUCAUUGAUGAACAUGUCUCAACUGUGGCUCCAGCUAAACUUUACAAAGCACUUGCAAAAGAUGCUGAUGAAAUCAUCCCAAAGGUGAUUCCAGCUGCUCAGAGUGUUGAAAUUGUUGAAGGAAAUGGAGGACCUGGCACCAUUAAGAAGUUAUCCAUGUCUGAAGGUAAUUGAUUAAGAUUAUAUAACAUUUACACAGUUGAAUUUUUGGGACUAGAGUUGAUUGUUGGUAUAUUGAAAUGAGAUUCAACAAUCAAGUAAUUAACGAUAUCCAGUUACGUUCAGAUUGAUCAAUGACUUAAACAAUUUUUAGUCAAACUUUAUUUAAAUUUGAGGGAACAAAACUUAUAUAAAUUAUGAUGGUUUAAUUGUAGGUGGUAAAACCGACUUUGUGCUACACAAAUUAGAAGCAAUGGAUGAGGCAAACUUGGGAUACAACUAUAGCAUAGUAGGAGGAACAGGAUUGGAUGAAAGUUUAGAGAAAGUUGAAUUUGAGACAAAUAUUGUGGCUGGAUCUGAUGGUGGAUCCAUUGUUAAGAUUUCAGUGAAAUAUCACACCAAAGGUGAUGCAGUUCUAUCUGAAGCUGUACGUGAGGAAACUAAGGCCAAAGGAACUGGACUUAUCAAGGCCAUUGAGGGUUAUGUUUUGGCAAACCCUAAUUACUAGCAAAUUAAACAUUUGCUUUAAUAAUAAUUAAAGACUAUGAUAUGGUUGAAUGUGUGUUGGAUAUUUUGAGGUUUGAGUGUUGUUUUGAGUGUUUAAAAACAAAAACCAAUGUUGUGUUGGUGAUGAGGUUUUGCACCAUCUGUAUUAUGUAAUAAAUAAUGCAAAAGAAUUUUCUAGCACUUUCCGUUAUUUUUUUAGAGGAAUAGCACUUUACAUCAUUUUAAUUUAAUUUAGGAUAACAUCAAACUAAUAGUGCAUGUGGUUUUCAAUUGGU